RNAcentral lists this long non-coding RNA (251 nucleotides) under Elaeis guineensis (African oil palm). RNAcentral describes it as "long non-coding RNA (EGUI_LNC064151)". Lineage: Eukaryota; Viridiplantae; Streptophyta; Magnoliopsida; Arecales; Arecaceae. The record is from RNAcentral.
GCGCCACCUUAGCCCCCCACGCCCACUCUCUCUUAUUUUGUGUAACAAAAUCUUCUCUCCCAGGCCUUCACACAUGCCCAAAGCUUUUCACUCUUUCUCUCUUGCAUGGAAUGUGGUUGUGGACCAAGUCAAAGUAGGAAUUAGUUUGGAUAUCAAAUUCUAUGAGAUAGAAUUUUAGAAAACCAAAACUCUUUCCUUAUGGCACUAAUUUUAUCCAAAUUUUUUCUAAAAUUUUCAUAGAUUCUAUGACA